RNAcentral lists this ribosomal RNA (1402 nucleotides) under Limosilactobacillus fermentum. Its description in RNAcentral is "Lactobacillus fermentum 16S ribosomal RNA". It matches the Rfam family "Bacterial small subunit ribosomal RNA", at positions 91 to 1465 of the family's 1533-position model. Lineage: Bacteria; Bacillati; Bacillota; Bacilli; Lactobacillales; Lactobacillaceae. The record is from RNAcentral.
ACGAGUGGCGGACGGGUGAGUAACACGUAGGUAACCUGCCCAGAAGCGGGGGACAACAUUUGGAAACAGAUGCUAAUACCGCAUAACAGCGUUGUUCGCAUGAACAACGCUUAAAAGAUGGCUUCUCGCUAUCACUUCUGGAUGGACCUGCGGUGCAUUAGCUUGUUGGUGGGGUAACGGCCUACCAAGGCGAUGAUGCAUAGCCGAGUUGAGAGACUGAUCGGCCACAAUGGGACUGAGACACGGCCCAUACUCCUACGGGAGGCAGCAGUAGGGAAUCUUCCACAAUGGGCGCAAGCCUGAUGGAGCAACACCGCGUGAGUGAAGAAGGGUUUCGGCUCGUAAAGCUCUGUUGUUAAAGAAGAACACGUAUGAGAGUAACUGUUCAUACGUUGACGGUAUUUAACCAGAAAGUCACGGCUAACUACGUGCCAGACAGCCGCGGUAAUACGUAGGUGGCAAGCGUUAUCCGGAUUUAUUGGGCGUAAAGAGAGUCCACGCGGUUUUCUAAGUCUGAUGUGCAAAAGCCUUCGGCUUAACCGGAGAAGUGCAUCGGAAACUGGAUAACUCUAGAGUGCCAGAAGAGGGUACGUGGAAACUCCAUGUUGUAGCGGUGGAAUGCGUAGAUAUAUGGAAGAACACCAGUGGGCGAAGGCGGCUACUUGGGUUCUGCAACUGACGCUUGAGACUCGAAAGCAUGGGUAGCGAACAGGAUUAGAUACCCUGGUAGUCCAUGCCGUAAACGAUGAGUGUCUAGGUGUUGGAGGGUUUCCGCCCUUCAGUGCCGGAGCUAACGCAUUAAGCACUCCGCCUGGGGAGUACGACCGCAAGGUUGAAACUCAAAGGAAUUGACGGGGGCCCGCACAAGCGGUGGAGCAUGUGGUUUAAUUCGAAGCUACGCGAAGAACCUUACCAGGUCUUGACAUCUUGCGCCAACCCUAGAGAUAGGGCGUUUCCUUCGGGAACGCAAAGACAGGUGGUGCAUGGUCGUCGUCAGCUCGUGUCGUGAGAUGUUGGGUUAAGUCCCGCAACGAGCGCAACCCUUGUUACUAGUUGCCAGCAUUAAGUUGGGCACUCUAGUGAGACUGCCGGUUACAAACCGGAGGAAGGUGGGGACGACGUCAGAUCAUCAUGCCCCUUAUGACCUGGGCUACACACGUGCUACAAUGGACGGUACAACGAGUCGCGAACUCGCGAGGGCAAGCAAAUCUCUUAAAACCGUUCUCAGUUCGGACUGCAGGCUGCAACUCGCCUGCACGAAGUCGGAAUCGCUAGUAAUCGCGGAUCAGCAUGCCGCGGUGAAUACGUUCCCGGGCCUUGUACACACCGCCCGUCACACCAUGAGAGUUUGUAACACCCAAAGUCGGUGGGGAACCUUUUAGGAGCCAGCCGCCUAAGGUGG